Molecule: ribosomal RNA, 253 nt
Filed under: uncultured bacterium
Lineage: Bacteria
Description: partial 16S ribosomal RNA
Rfam family: Bacterial small subunit ribosomal RNA
Source: RNAcentral
UACGGAGGGGGCUAGCGUUGUCCGGAAUUAUUGGGCGUAAAGAGCUCGUAGGCGGUUUGUCGCGUCUGCUGUGAAAUCCCGAGGCUCAACCUCGGGCCUGCAGUGGGUACGGGCAGACUAGAGUGCGGUAGGGGAGAUUGGAAUUCCUGGUGUAGCGGUGGAAUGCGCAGAUAUCAGGAGGAACACCGAUGGCGAAGGCAGAUCUCUGGGCCGUAACUGACGCUGAGGAGCGAAAGCGUGGGGAGCGAACAGG